GUUAGUAAUUACAAAUUGGUACGGUUUUCAUUUCAAGUCUGUCAAAACAUUAACGAAACCGAACUUCGUUCAGAAACGUUUCGCGCCACCAAUAAUAUUAUGCGCAUCGUUGCGUACAGAUAUCAUAUAAAUUAAAUUAUCCCAUACAACGUUCCGUCUUCCGGACUUCCCUCCUACGACAAUAAUAGCCCGUACAUACAAACAGCAUCCUGUACUUGGAGCGCGCAUG
Non-coding RNA from Cinara cedri, 229 nucleotides. Lineage: Eukaryota; Metazoa; Arthropoda; Insecta; Hemiptera; Aphididae. The record is from the annotation of a GenBank genome assembly.